AUGAAACACUCCUACGGGAGGCAGCAGUAGGGAAUAUUGCUCAAUGGGGGAAACCCUGAAGCAGCAACGCCGCGUGGAGGAUGACACUUUUCGGAGCGUAAACUCCUUUUCUUGGGAAAGAAUUAUGACGGUACCCAAGGAAUAAGCACCGGCUAACUCCGUGCCAGCAGCCGCGGUAAUACGGAGGGUGCAAGCGUUACUCGGAAUCACUGGGCGUAAAGGACGCGUAGGCGGAUUAUCAAGUCUCUUGUGAAAUCUAACGGCUUAACCGUUAAACUGCUUGGGAAACUGAUAAUCUAGAGUAAGGGAGAGGCAGAUGGAAUUCUUGGUGUAGGGGUAAAAUCCGUAGAGAUCAAGAAGAAUACCCAUUGCGAAAGCGAUCUGCUGGAACUUAACUGACGCUAAUGCGUGAAAGCGUGGGGAGCAAACAGGAUUAGAAACCCUUGUAGUCCGAAGUUC
Molecule: ribosomal RNA, 459 nt
Filed under: uncultured bacterium
Lineage: Bacteria
Description: bacterial SSU rRNA
Rfam family: Bacterial small subunit ribosomal RNA
Source: RNAcentral